CCUACGGGAGGCUGCAGUGAGGAAUAUUGGUCAAUGGGCGUAAGCCUGAACCAGCCAAGUCGCGUGAGGGAUGAAGGCUCUCUGGAUCGUAAACUUCUUUUACAAGGGAGAAAAGGGCGGGACGUGUCCCGUUUUGUAUGUACCGUAUGAAUAAGAAUCGGCUAAGUCCGUGCCAGCAGCCGAGGUGCUACGGAGGAUCCGAGCGUUAUCCGGAUUUAUUGGGUUUAACGGGUGCGUAGGCGGUCUUUUAAGUCAGCAGUGAAAGUCUGGAGCUCAACCUUAGAAUUGCCGGUGAAACUGGGAUGCUUGAGUAUGAGAGAGGAAGGCAGAAUGCGUGGUGUAGCGGUGAAAUGCGUAGAUAUCACGCAGAACCCCGAUUGCGAAGGCAGCCUACCAGG
This 398-nucleotide ribosomal RNA is filed under the name uncultured bacterium. Its description in RNAcentral is "partial 16S ribosomal RNA". It matches the Rfam family "Bacterial small subunit ribosomal RNA", at positions 338 to 733 of the family's 1533-position model. The record is from RNAcentral.